CUUUACUGUAUUUUGACAUUGAAUUUUAUUUUUAUUUGCGAAGAAUAGGUGGGAGACUAUGAUAGAAAUUCUCCGGAAUUACUGGAGUCGUUACUGAGAUACCACUCUAAUAAUAAUGAAAUUCUUAAUUUUUUACUAUAAUCUAGAAAAAAGACAGUGUUUGAUUGACAGUUUGACUGGGGCGGUCGCCUCCUAAAAAGUAACGGAGGCGUACAAAGGUUUUCUCAAAUCAGUUAGAAAUUGAUUGCAGAACGUAAAGGUACAUGAAAGCUUGACUGUAAGACAAACAAGUCAAACAGAGACAAAAGUCGGUCUUAGUGAUCUAACGUUUACUAUAUGGAAAGGACGUUACUUAACGGAUAAAAGUUA
This 369-nucleotide ribosomal RNA is filed under the name uncultured organism. RNAcentral describes it as "bacterial LSU rRNA". It matches the Rfam family "Bacterial large subunit ribosomal RNA", at positions 2099 to 2465 of the family's 2925-position model. The record is from RNAcentral.